AAGACAUGAAGUCAAGUCAGCAAACCCGCUGAAUUUAAGCAUAUAAGUAAGCGGAGGAUAAGAAACUAAAUAGGAUUCCCUCAGUAAUGGCGAAUGAACAGGGAUGAGCUCAGCAUGGAAAUCGGGGUCUGCGACCUUGAAUUGUAGUCUGGAGAUGUAUCACCAACUGGGGCGCAGAUGUAAGCCUUUUGGAACAAAGCAUCAAUGAGGGUGAAAGUCCCGUCUGGCAUCUGCAGUCCCCAGUGCUCGGUGUACCUUCUAAGAGUCACGUUCCUCGGGAUUGGAGCGCAAAUUGGGUGGUAAAUUUCAUCUAAAGCUAAAUAUUGUUUCGAUACCGAUAGCAAACAAGUACCAUGAGGGAAAGGUGAAAAGGACUUUGAAAAGAGAGUUAAAAGUGCCUGAAAUUGCUGAAAGGAAAGCGAAUGGAGCCAGCACAACUUGGCAGGAUUGCUGCACAUCACUGUGAGUGCUUGCUGCUGCAACGAAAGUGGGGUAGCGAGUUUUGAACAGGACAUGCGCAGUGCAUCCUGCCUUGUGUGUCACUGCCAAUUCACAGCUGGGGAAAACUUCAUGUACAUGGUAGCCUGUCCCUGGGUGGGUGAAUGUGCUUGAUGGAACUCAUUUGUGGAUUGAUCA
RNAcentral lists this ribosomal RNA (636 nucleotides) under Scrippsiella ramonii. RNAcentral's name for it is "LSU rRNA". It matches the Rfam family "Eukaryotic large subunit ribosomal RNA", at positions 1 to 579 of the family's 3401-position model. The record is from RNAcentral. Lineage: Eukaryota; Dinophyceae; Peridiniales; Peridiniaceae.